This 253-nucleotide ribosomal RNA is filed under the name uncultured bacterium. RNAcentral describes it as "partial 16S ribosomal RNA". It matches the Rfam family "Bacterial small subunit ribosomal RNA", at positions 524 to 776 of the family's 1533-position model. The record is from RNAcentral.
UAUGUAGGGUGCAAGCGUUGUCCGGAAUUAUUGGGCGUAAAGAGCUCGUAGGCGGUCUGUCGCGUCGGCUGUGAAAACUCGGGGCUCAACCCCGAGCCUGCAGUCGAUACGGGCAGACUAGAGUGCGGUAGGGGAGACUGGAAUUCCUGGUGUAGCGGUGAAAUGCGCAGAUAUCAGGAGGAACACCAAUGGCGAAGGCAGCUCGCUGGGACGGUACUGACGCUGAGACGCGAAAGCGUGGGGAGCAAACAGG